Non-coding RNA from Lactifluus volemus, 103 nucleotides. The record is from the annotation of a GenBank genome assembly. NCBI's taxonomy places the organism in Eukaryota, Fungi, Basidiomycota, Agaricomycetes, Russulales, Russulaceae.
GCGCCGAUGGGGUAGUGGUAACCUGGAUCGUUGCCAUAUUACAUGACUUUUCUGUCCUGCAACUGAAGUCGAUCCGCCGCGGGUUCGAUUCCCGCUCGGCGCA